This 1398-nucleotide unclassified non-coding RNA is filed under the name Hevea brasiliensis (rubber tree). Lineage: Eukaryota; Viridiplantae; Streptophyta; Magnoliopsida; Malpighiales; Euphorbiaceae. The record is from RNAcentral.
UGGCAGUCUCACAGAAAUAAAGCUUUCCUUAAAGGUCUAUAGCUGCAGGCAUGUGAAAAUAAUCAUCAUCAUCAUCAUGGAUUUGGCAAAUUGAAUAUGGGAAAUGAGAUGGGCAACAAUAACACUUCUGGAUUGCGAGAAGAGGAUAACACAACCCCUGAAGCUCAGGGAAAAUUUUUGCAAGAAACUGAUCAUAAUAGUGAUGUAAAAGGAGAAAAUUAUGUGGUACCGACAACUGGAUGUAAAGAUUAUCAUCAGACAGAGACAGGGUUAGACUUUGACGAUCCAAACGGAGAAGGAGAUACUCCUGCUCAUAACCAGACAUCUGAUGGAACAGGUCAAAAAGAGACUGGAGUUAAUCCUUCUGUUGAAUCUGCAGAAGCUGAAAAGAUAUCAAAUGAAGAAGGUGGAAACGAUAGAGACAUUCAAUUUGCAGCUUCUUUUUCAAAGGAAAUGAAAGGUCACAGAAACCCAACAUCAUCAGAGAAUGUUUUGGAAACGAGUAAUAAUUGUAUUGAAAGGCAGCCUUCCUUCAAGAAAGAAGAAGAGGAUAUUCCAAAUUCAACUUUUGUUGCAAUAUCCUCAGCACAUGAUUCAGAAUCUGAAGAUUCUGAAGAACCAAAGCCUGAUCAACAUGAAUUUACAAAAGUGCAUGCUGAGCAAUCGGAACAAGAUAGCACUAAUUCAUUGAGAGGAAUUGCAGAUGUCUUAGGAACAAGUGCUGAAUACAGUAGCAAAAAGAACAGUCACCUGUUAGAUAUUUACAUGUCUGAUAACCUGGAAGGAACUAUUGAUUCUGCUACUAAUCUAGAUGUGGAGAUAAGAAAGGAUGAUUUGUUGGUGAAAGAAAUGGCAUCUCAGGAAAUCAAUAUGCCCAGCAAAGAGAAAUUUGAAGUUAUUUUAUCAUUGGAUCUUCCAAGUAAUGUUGGAGAGAAAUAUGGAGAGUUAGCUGGUAAGAUGAAUUGUAAUGAAACUAAUUUCUUGGAGUCAAAACAAGGAGCCAAUCUGGUGGCUGAAUCAUUAGAUUCCCAUUUAGAAGCCUCCCUGCCUGAAGACAAAACCAUGGUUCUUCCUAAUAUGGUUCUUCCCGACAAGGCUAAAUUAAUAGGAAAAGAAUCGGAAAGUGGAGAAAAUAAGCAUGAUCUUCGUUUUCCAGUAGGAGAAUCCAAUAUUGAGAAGGCAAAUGGAUCUGAAACUGAUUCUUUGAGAAGGCUUAAUUGCAAGAACAUUGAAAUGGACGGUUCUGUUAUCACUGCUCAAGAUGCUGCUAGCAAUGGGGACUGCCAAAUUGAGGAAGUGAAGGUUGUUGAGGAAUCUGACAACCAGAAUGAGGCUUCUGAAGAAAAUUGCAAGGGUUCUGAAGGAAAGAUAGCACAUGAGCUUGGCAUAUUUGCAGCC